AGGGCGCACGGAGGAUGCCUUGGCACUAGGAGUCGAAGAAGGACGCGACAAACGGCGAAACGCCUCGGGGAGCUGUAAGUGAGCAUUGAUCCGGGGGUAUCCGAAUGGGGAAACCCGCUAGUGGUUAUACGCUAGCACCAUAUGGUGAAUACAUAGCCAUAUAGGAGACAGACCCAGGGAACUGAAACAUCUAAGUACCUGGAGGAAAAGAAAGAAAAAUCGAUUCCCGUAGUAGCGGCGAGCGAAGUGGGAAGAGCCCAAACCGGAUUUAUCCGGGGUUGUAGGACCUUCAUAAUUGACAAAUCAUGAUAGCCGAAUGGUCUGGGAAGGCCAACCGUAGGGGGUGAGAGUCCCGUAGGUGAAAUUGUGAGAUGCAUGGAAGGAAUCCUGAGUACGGCGGGACACGUGGAAUCCCGUCGGAAUCAACGAGGACCAUCUCGUAAGGCUAAAUACUACCUAGUGACCGAUAGUGAACCAGUACCGUGAGGGAAAGGUGAAAAGAACCCCGGGAGGGGAGUGAAAGAGAACCUGAAACCCUGCACUUACAAGCUGUAGGAGCACAUUAUUUGUGUGACUGCGUACUUUUUGUAGAACGGGCCAACGAGUUACGUUGUGUAGCAAGGUUAAGCACUUAAGGUGUGGAGCCGUAGCGAAAGCGAGUCUUAAAUGGGCGAUUAAGUUACUUGGCGUAGACCCGAAACCGGGCGACCUAUCCAUGAGCAGGUUGAAGCGAAAGUAAAAUUUCGUGGAGGACCGAACCCACGUACGUUGAAAAGUGCGGGGAUGACUUGUGGAUAGCGGUGAAAUUCCAAUCGAGCCUGGAGAUAGCUGGUUCUCCCCGAAAUAGCUUUAGGGCUAGCCUCAAGCUUAGAGAAACGGAGGUAGAGCACUGAAUGUCCUAGGGGGUAUUGCACUUACCGAAGACUAUCAAACUCCGAAUGCCGUUUUCUUUUACUUGGGAGUCAGACUGUGGGUGAUAAGAUUCAUAGUCAAAAGGGCAACAGCCCAGAUCGUCAGCUAAGGUCCCUAAAUGUAAGUUAAGUGGUAAAGGAUGUGGAAUUGCACAGACAACCAGGAUGUUGGCUUAGAAGCAGCCACUCAUUUAAAGAGUGCGUAAUAGCUCACUGGUCGAGUGAUUCUGCGCCGAAAAUUUCCGGGGCUAAAACUUACUACCGAAGCUACGGCAUCAUUAUGAUGGGUAGGGGAGCUUUCUAUGCGGCUUGAAGCAUGACCGUAAGGACAUGUGGACUGCAUAGAAGUGAGAAUGUUGGCAUGAGUAGCGAGAUGUGGGUGAGAAUCCCACAGGCCGUAAACCCAAGGUUUCCAGGGGAAGGUUCGUCCGCCCUGGGUUAGUCGGGACCUAAGCCGAGGCCGAAAGGCGUAGGUGAUGGACAACAGGUUGAUAUUCCUGUACCGCCAAUAAGCGUUUGAGAGAUGGAGUGACACAGUAGGAUAAGCUAACCGUACUGUUGGUUAUGUACGGCUAAGCAUUGAGGCAGUCUAAAUAGGCAAAUCCGUUUAGACAAUGCUAGGAUGUGAUGGGGAAGCCCUUCGGGGCGAAGUAGCUGAUUUCACACUGUCAAGAAAAGCUUCUAUCGAGUUUAAAGGCGCCCGUACCGUAAACCGACACAGGUGGGUGAGGAGAGUAUCCUAAGGCCAGCGAGAGAACUAUUGUUAAGGAACUCGGCAAAAUGACCCCGUAACUUAGGGAGAAGGGGUGCCUGUCUAUGACAGGCCGCAGAGAAUAGGCCCAAGCGACUGUUUACCAAAAACACAGGUUUCUGCUAAGUCGCAAGACGAUGUAUAGGAGCUGACGCCUGCCCGGUGCUGGAAGGUUAAGGGGAUCUGUUAGAGCAAUCGAAGCAGUGAACUUAAGCCCCAGUAAACGGCGGCCGUAACUAUAACGGUCCUAAGGUAGCGAAAUUCCUUGUCGGGUAAGUUCCGACCCGCACGAAAGGCGUAACGAUUUGGGCACUGUCUCAACAAUAGACUCGGUGAAAUUGUAAUCCCGGUGAAGAUGCCGGGUACCUGCGACAGGACGGAAAGACCCCAUGGAGCUUUACUGUAGCUUGACGUUGGGUCUUGGUACUACAUGUACAGGAUAGGUGGGAGACUAUGAAGCAUGGACGCCAGUCUGUGUGGAGUCAUCCUUGGGAUACCACCCUUGUAGUACUGGGAUCCUAACCAUAGGCCUUGAAUCAGGUCUUGGAACACCGUCAGGUGGGCAGUUUGACUGGGGCGGUCGCCUCCUAAAAAGUAACGGAGGCGCCC
This 2271-nucleotide ribosomal RNA is filed under the name human gut metagenome. Its description in RNAcentral is "bacterial LSU rRNA". It matches the Rfam family "Bacterial large subunit ribosomal RNA", at positions 14 to 2311 of the family's 2925-position model. The record is from RNAcentral.